Molecule: long non-coding RNA, 2443 nt
Filed under: Gossypium barbadense (sea-island cotton)
Lineage: Eukaryota; Viridiplantae; Streptophyta; Magnoliopsida; Malvales; Malvaceae
Description: long non-coding RNA (GBAR_LNC006707)
Source: RNAcentral
GUCCUUGUAAACAUUUCACACAACCAUUUCAUAUAACCAUUCGUCAUCUGAUACAUUUUACCUGAAUAUCAAUUGUUCAACAGAUGUUAUAGCGUCUCCCAUCCACGGUCUUUUUUAUCUUUGACGUGAUGCCAUAGUGUCUUUCAACUAUGGUCUUACUCAUUUUUUGUCAUGUGGCCAUGGUAUCUUUCAACCAUGGUCUUAUUCUUUUCAUGUCACGUUGCCAUGGUAUCUUUCAACCAUGGUCUUACACAUCUCAUAUCAGGUUGCCAUGGUAUCUUUCAACCAUGGUCUUACACAUAGGUUGCCAUGGUAUCUUUCAACCAUGGUCUUACACAUUUCAUAUCAGAGAGCACACUCCCGCGAACCUCAUCCUUACAGUGGGAUUACCAGUCCAGGCUAAGUCCCCUGUAAUAUAAACUCAUAGAGUAUUGUCGGGAUUACCAGUCCAGGCUAAAUCCCCUGCAACGACAAUUACUCUAAUGAGUUUGGAUCUGAAUUACUAGUCCAGGCUAAAUUCAGACCCUAAUUCGGAUUACCCGUCCGGGCUAAAUCUGUUUUACACAUAUUCUUCGGGAGGGCUAUAUCAGGAUAGGAUCACCCGUCCGGGCUAGAUCCUUUUUACCGUCAAUUCCUUUUCAGAGAUCCAUCGAAUUUUCCUUUCAUUCAACCGGGAUUUCUUCUCCUUUUAUCAAAUUUAUCAAUGUUUCAUAAAUUUUCAUACAAUAAACAUUCAAAUCAUAUUCACAUAAAUAACAUACAAUCUCAAGCAUUUAAGAAUAUAAUUCAAGUUACACGAACUUACCUCAUUGCUUGUUUGUGUUUAUAAUUUUAUUAAUUUGAUAUCUUUUCUUUUCCACGAUCAAGUCUCAUAUUUGAGUCGUUCGGAUAUUUAUAAAUAAAUUUGAUCAUCAUUUUCAUUCAUUUCAUAUUCUAAUGCAUUUAAUUAAUGCUCUAGGCAAAAUUAUCAUUUUGCCCCUAAACUUUUAAUUAAUGACGAUUUCAUCCUUAGGGUCAGGAAAAUAAAAUUCUUGCAAUUUAAUCCUUAUUUCCAGCUAUUAUUCUCAUAUAUAUAUUGAUAACAAUCCAUGAAUUCUAUAAAAUAUCAGAAUUUUUCAUAAUUUCAACACUUUUCAAUUUAAUCCCUAGAACAUGUUUUCCCCCGAUCUUGAACUAAAUUAAUAAUUUCAUUCAAUUUUUUAAUUUAAAUAAUAAAAUAAUCCAUUUCAUGCAAUUUGGUAAUUUCUGACAUGUUUACAAAAUUGCCCAUAAAGUUUUACUUUUAUUCAAUUUAGUCCCUUAGCCUAAAAUAUGCAAAUUAGCCAUGCUAGAUGAAUAUUCAUACAUAUUUUUCCUCCUCCUCCUCUCCAUUCCACAUCCUUAAUGUAGAUAACACACUUGUAAGUAACAUUAUCCAUAAUUUUUAUUAUUUACUUUUAUGAAUAUUCAAGUUGUCUAUCUGCAUCAUAGUUACUAAAUUAUUUAUAUCUGGAUCUAUAGAACUCCAAAUUAAUAUCCAAUAAUUUUCCCUGAAUCUAGACUCAUAUAUAUUCUUACCAUAAAAAUUUCAGAAUUUUUGGUUUAGCCAAUAAGUACAGUUUAUUCUUUAAAGUUACCCCUGUUCUGCUGUCUGACAGUUCUGACCCCUCUUCACCAAAAAUUAAUUAUCUCCUCAUACAGGAUUCAAAUGAUGUUCUUUUUUAUUUCUCUUAAAAAUAGACUCAUUCAGGAUUUUAUAAAUAUAAAUUUAAGCCCCUAAUUAUUUGUAUUCAAUUUUUUAUGAUUUUUCAAAGUUAGAACAGGGGAACCCGAAUUCAUUCUGACCUUGUCUCACAAAAUUCAUUAUAUCUCAAAAUUUACAAAUCCAUUGCUUACACUAUUUCUUAUAUGAGAAACUAUCUCAAUAAGCUUUAAUUCCAUAUUUUUUUCAUCUUCUAAUUCGAUUUCUAAAAUUUAUGGUGAUUUUUCAAAUUUAGUCUACUGCUGCUGUCCAAACUGUUUUUGUGCAAGCUAUUAAUUACCAUGUUAUAACACCCUUAUUUUCUUUUUCUACACCAUUUCUCAUCACUUUCUCUUAUUUUCUCUUCACUAACAUAUCAAAAACAUAGGACCUUAUGUAAGAAAACUCUACUAUAACAUUAUUUCCAUGCUUUGUCAAUAAUAACAAACUUAAAAACAUAUUGAAAUCUUGAUAUACUUACCUUGUUCUAUUGAUACUAAUCUUUAACUUAAUUUUCUCUCUCCUCCAGCUUCUAUUUCUUGAAUCCAACUUGAUAUUCUAACUCCCCAUGCUCUCCUUAACAUUUUUGUCUCUUGGUAGCUAUGGAAAUUCAUUUGAUUUUUGGGUGAAAAUGGUGAAUUUUUGGUAAAAGGACCAAAUUGUAAAGAAAGUAAAACUUUCUUUCUUCCUCUCUUUCUCUCACGUUAGUGCAUGGGAAAAUAU